CUUGUUGCAGCUGUGGUACGUUUUUGUAUUCAACUGUUGAAUUGAAGGCAUCCACAUUCUUGGUAAGAUCUGCAUCUGUAAUUAUUUGCUUAUCUGAUGCAUGUACAGGGACUGCAUCUAGGUUUUGUGCGACCUUUGUGACAUCAAUACUAUUGAGUCUUUCAACACACAAUUCAACAUCGGUCUGUGUUCUUUCCAUGUCUGAAUAUUUGAAAUCUGAUAAAAUGGGUAGCUCAUUGUGUUGAGUUGGGGUAUAUUUAUCUUUAGAGCCUUGUGCUGCCUCACUUGAAGAACCCUGAAGCAUGUUAGAUGGCGUGACCUUAUCGUUAUUUUCUAUAAAUUCAUUGCAAUUAUCAACGGUUACUUUUUCUUCUUCACAAAUUGCAUCUUUAGCAUCUGAGACAGCCUCUGAAGAAUUUUUUGGUAGCUUUUUUUCUAUUUCCUGCCUGAGAGUUGCUGGCAUGUGGUCCUGUUGAAUUAUAUCAAAUUCUUUUCCACAACUUGAAUCCUUUUGUUCCGUGCUUUCAUUUGGAUCUAUCUCUGCUAGAUUUUCUUUAUUUGAUAGUGCAAUGAAUUUUUCAUCCAACUCUUGCAUAUCCCCAGUUAUAUUGCUAGCUCUUUGAAGAUCUACUGGACCAACCUCCUCUGUUUUUCCCAUUUCAGAAGCCUGGAUGUGGGGUAGAUGAGGUAAGUGCUGAAGUUUGACGAGUUGAUCUUGAGUUUCUUGAUCAUCAACAGCUAACAACAUUACUUCUGCAGAUCCCUGCAUGAUUUUUGAUGUUGAAAUGGUGCAUUCCAUGGAAGUGGAUGCCUCUGUCAUUUCUUUGUAAUCGUCAUUUUCCUUUCUCUCUUCUCCAUAUUGUACUCCCAUUGUUUCUACAUCACUGGAAGCAGUUCCAGCUUUUGAUUCAUGCAUUUCAGCAUUUACUGUUAUUGCUUCAGAGUUAUGUUCCAUUGGUUGAAUGCGUUUGCUGACUGCAGGUGUUAUGACUUCUCCACUUUCAUUUGGACAUGUAGCUUCAGAAAUCUCUCUCUUGGUUGUGCC
Molecule: long non-coding RNA, 1045 nt
Filed under: Olea europaea (common olive)
Lineage: Eukaryota; Viridiplantae; Streptophyta; Magnoliopsida; Lamiales; Oleaceae
Description: long non-coding RNA (OEUR_LNC003335)
Source: RNAcentral